AGUGAACGCUGGCGGUAGGCCCAACACAUGCAAGUCGAACGGCAGCACAGUAAGAGCUUGCUCUUAUGGGUGGCGAGUGGCGGACGGGUGAGGAAUACAUCGGAAUCUACUUUUUCGUGGGGGAUAACGUAGGGAAACUUACGCUAAUACCGCAUACGACCUACGGGUGAAAGCAGGGGAUCUUCGGACCUUGCGCGAUUGAAUGAGCCGAUGUCGGAUUAGCUAGUUGGCGGGGUAAAGGCCCACCAAGGCGACGAUCCGUAGCUGGUCUGAGAGGAUGAUCAGCCACACUAGAACUGAGACACGGUCCAGACGACUGCGAGAGGCAGCGGUGGGGAAUAUUGGACAGUGGGCGCAAGCCUGGUCCAGCCGUCCCGCGUGGGUGAAGGAGGCCUUCGGGUUGUAAAGCCCUUUUGUUGGGAAAGAAAAGCAGCAGGUUAAUACCCCGCUGUUCUGACGGUACCCAAAGAAUAAGCACCGGCUAACUUCGUG
RNAcentral lists this ribosomal RNA (492 nucleotides) under uncultured bacterium. Its description in RNAcentral is "partial 16S ribosomal RNA". It matches the Rfam family "Bacterial small subunit ribosomal RNA", at positions 29 to 507 of the family's 1533-position model. The record is from RNAcentral.